UACGUAGGGGGCAAGCGUUGUCCGGAAUUAUUGGGCGUAAAGAGCUCGUAGGCGGCCUGUUGCGUCCGCUGUGAAAUCCCGGGGCUUAACCCCGGGCUUGCAGUGGAUACGGGCAGGCUGGAGGCAGGCAGGGGAGAAUGGAAUUCCUGGUGUAGCGGUGAAAUGCGCAGAUAUCAGGAGGAACACCGGUGGCGAAGGCGGUUCUCUGGGCAUUACCUGACGCUGAGGCGCGAAAGCGUGGGGAGCAAAUAGG
Molecule: ribosomal RNA, 253 nt
Filed under: uncultured bacterium
Lineage: Bacteria
Description: partial 16S ribosomal RNA
Rfam family: Bacterial small subunit ribosomal RNA
Source: RNAcentral